GGAAAUGGGUCGCGACCCAACCCACGCAUUCCGCCCCCGGCUCCGAUCUGCUAAGCCCCCUCGGAUCGGGUUGCGGGUCCCCUCCUCCCCCCCGACCCACCACCGCUCGCCGCCGGCCGCCUCCGACGAGUGGGCGAUCAUAUUUAGAUACAAGAUAGCAUGCUGGAGCCAACAGCUAUGGAAGUGCCGAUUACUAGCUCAGUGAACACUGCAGUGGUGCCUGUGCCUGUGGUGCACAAUCCACGGGCACGGAAAUUGCGGUCUGCAGUUUGGCAGGACUUCACUAAGGAACGGCGUGCUGAUGGAAGCUGUGUUGCUGUCUGUAACCACUGUAAGAAGCAGCUCACAGCUACUAGCCGGUCAGGCACCACACACCUACGCAACCACCUCGCAAUCUGCACCACCACCUCCACGCGUCGUGCUGGUAAGCGCCGGAAGCUUAUUGUGCGCCGUAUUCUCCACAACAAAACCUCCACUGAUGGACAGAAGCUAGCUGCCAUUGUACUGGACAACUGCGCCUCUGGUGAGAUUAUGGACCAAAAACUGCUAGUUCUUGAUUCUCCUAAUAACUGGCCGUCUACAUACUUAAUGUUUGAUUCUGCAUGUUACUAUCAUGAUGUUCUCAUGCGCCUUGCAGAACAGGAAGCACAUUAUGGUGCUUUUCUCACUGUGAAGGAGUGGGCCGAUGUGAAAGCCCUCACUGAAAUACUUGAUGCGCUCUAUCAUAAGAUGGAGAAGUUUCCUGUGGAAAAUCCGACUGCAAAUCUCUAUUUUAAUGACAUGUGUGAGGUGCAUGUUCUUUUGAAUACCUGGCGUAAUAGUCCAUCUCCUGUUGUUGCACAAGUGGCUGACCGAAUGCUGACAAAAUUUGAGGGGUACUGGGAUCUUACUAGACCAGUAAUGGCAUUCGCAUCUAUUCUGGAUCCUCGAUAUAAGAUGAAGUCUGUUGAGUACUUCUGUAGACUCAUUUAUGCUGCUGAUCAAUUUAGAGCAAAGACAACAAUAGAUGACAUUCGGCAGAGUUUUACCAAUUUGUGCAGUGAAUAUGAACAGUCAGGAAAUUCAUUCAAGAAUCCAUCUGCUCUCUUCUACUCUGCAACCAGUAAUUCUUGCAUGAGUUCGGUAUACAGCAAUGGUGAUGAUUUUAAGACCUUCUCC
Molecule: long non-coding RNA, 1158 nt
Filed under: Oryza sativa aromatic subgroup
Lineage: Eukaryota; Viridiplantae; Streptophyta; Magnoliopsida; Poales; Poaceae
Description: lncRNA OsARC_01g0029550
Source: RNAcentral